RNAcentral lists this ribosomal RNA (490 nucleotides) under uncultured bacterium. RNAcentral describes it as "partial 16S ribosomal RNA". It matches the Rfam family "Bacterial small subunit ribosomal RNA", at positions 30 to 507 of the family's 1533-position model. The record is from RNAcentral.
AUUGAACGCUGGCGGCAGGCCUAACACAUGCCAGUCGAACGGUAACAGGAAGAAGCUUGCUUCUUUGCUGACGAGUGGCGGACGGGUGAGUAAUGUCUGGGAAACUGCCUGAUGGAGGGGGAUAACUACUGGAAACGGUAGCUAAUACCGCAUAACGUCGCAAGACCAAAGAGGGGGACCUUCGGGCCUCUUGCCAUCGGAUGUGCCCUGAUGGGAUUAGCUAGUAGGUGGGGUAACGGCUCACCUAGGCGACGAUCCCUAGCUGGUCUGAGAGGAUGACCAGCCACACUGGAACUGAGACACGGUCCAGACUCCUACGGGAGGCAGCAGUGGGGAAUAUUGCACAAUGGGCGCAAGCCUGAUGCAGCCAUGCCGCGUGUAUGAAGAAGGCCUUCGGGUUGUAAAGUACUUUCAGCGGGGAGGAAGGGAGUAAAGUUAAUACCUUUGCUCAUUGACGUUACCCGCAGAAGAAGCACCGGCUAACUCCGUG